This 433-nucleotide ribosomal RNA is filed under the name uncultured bacterium. RNAcentral's name for it is "partial 16S ribosomal RNA". It matches the Rfam family "Bacterial small subunit ribosomal RNA", at positions 29 to 507 of the family's 1533-position model. The record is from RNAcentral.
AACGAACGCUGGCGGCAUGCCUAACACAUGCAAGUCGAACGAGACCUUCGGGUCUAUUGGCGCACGGGUGCGUAACGCGUGGGAACCUGCCUUUAGGUUCGGAAUAAUUCCCCGAUAUGGGUGCUAAUACCGGAUAAUGUCUUCUGACCAAAGAUUUAUUGCCUUUGGAUGGGCCCGCGUUGGAUUAGCUAGUUGGUAGGGUAAAGGCCUACCAAGGCGACGAUCCAUAGCUGGUCUGAGAGGAUGAUCAGCCACACUGGGACUGAGACACGGCCCAGACUCCUACGGGAAGAAGCAGUGGGGAAUAUUGGACAAUGGGCGAAAGCCUGAUCCAGCAAUGCCGCGUGAGAGAUGAAGGCCUUAGGGUUGUAAAGCUCUUUUACCCGGGAUGAUAAUGACAGUACCGGGAGAAUAAGCUCCGGCUAACUCCGUG